RNAcentral lists this ribosomal RNA (440 nucleotides) under uncultured bacterium. Its description in RNAcentral is "partial 16S ribosomal RNA". It matches the Rfam family "Bacterial small subunit ribosomal RNA", at positions 338 to 795 of the family's 1533-position model. The record is from RNAcentral.
CCUACGGGUGACAGCAGUGGGGAAUAUUGCGCAAUGGGCGAAACCCUGAAGCAGCGACGCCGCGUGGGGGAUGAAGGUCUUCGGAUUGUAAACCCCUUUUGGCAGAGAAGAAAAUGCAGUUUUCUAACGAGUAAGCACUGGCUAACACCGUGCCAGCAGCCGCGGUAAUACGGAGGGUGCGAGCGUUACUCGGAAUCACUGGGCGUAAAGGGCGCGUAGGCGGGAUGGCAAGUCAGAUGUGAAAUCCCAGGGCUUAACCAUGGAACUGCAUUUGAAACUGGGAUUCUAGAGUGUGUGAGAGGAUAGUGGAAUUCUAGGUGUAGGGGUGAAAUCCGUAGAUAUCAAGAGGAACACCCAUGGCGAAGGCGACUAUCUAGAACAUAACUGACGCUGAGGCGCGAAAGCGUGGGUAGCAAACAGGAUUAGAUACCCGAGUAGUC